This 253-nucleotide ribosomal RNA is filed under the name uncultured bacterium. RNAcentral's name for it is "partial 16S ribosomal RNA". It matches the Rfam family "Bacterial small subunit ribosomal RNA", at positions 524 to 776 of the family's 1533-position model. The record is from RNAcentral.
UACGAAGGGGGCUAGCGUUGUUCGGAAUUACUGGGCGUAAAGCGCACGUAGGCGGGUCGUUAAGUCAGGGGUGAAAUCCCGGAGCUCAACUCCGGAACUGCCUUUGAUACUGGCGAUCUAGAGGUCGAGAGAGGUGAGUGGAAUUCCGAGUGUAGAGGUGAAAUUCGUAGAUAUUCGGAAGAACACCAGUGGCGAAGGCGGGUCUCUGGGCAGUAACUGACGCUGAGGAGCGAAAGCGUGGGGAGCGAACAGG